UAGUGUGAGGGCGACGUGGCUGUGACAUGUCACCCCGUUGGUCGCCAGCGUUGGUUCAGCUGAUCUGGCUGGUGAGGUGGGUGUCCCCUUCCUCCUUCACCAAUCCAUUGCAUCGGUCCCUAAACUGUGCGCUCCAGCAGAGGAGGACCCUUUCCUCCCUCAAGGCGUAGGAGUAGCCAUGCCGCCUGGCUAGGCCCGCCAAAGAAAGCUCUCAAGAUGUGUCACGUACACGGACCAAUUCACACAAACAAUGUAGACACUAUGU
RNAcentral lists this small nuclear RNA (265 nucleotides) under Octodon degus (degu). Its description in RNAcentral is "7SK RNA (ENSODEG00000022996.1)". It matches the Rfam family "7SK RNA". From Rfam's summary of the family: 7SK was discovered as an abundant small nuclear RNA in the mid-70s but a possible function has only recently been suggested. The record is from Rfam by way of RNAcentral. Lineage: Eukaryota; Metazoa; Chordata; Mammalia; Rodentia; Octodontidae.